UACGUAGGGUGCGAGCGUUGUCCGGAAUUAUUGGGCGUAAAGAGCUCGUAGGCGGUUUGUCGCGUCUAUCGUGAAAACUGGAGGCUCAACCUUCAGCUUGCGGUGGAUACGGGCAGACUUGAGUUCGGUAGGGGAGACUGGAAUUCCUGGUGUAGCGGUGAAAUGCGCAGAUAUCAGGAGGAACACCGGUGGCGAAGGCGGGUCUCUGGGCCGAUACUGACGCUGAGGAGCGAAAGCGUGGGGAGCGAACAGG
This 253-nucleotide ribosomal RNA is filed under the name uncultured bacterium. RNAcentral's name for it is "partial 16S ribosomal RNA". It matches the Rfam family "Bacterial small subunit ribosomal RNA", at positions 524 to 776 of the family's 1533-position model. The record is from RNAcentral.